Thalassophryne amazonica is the source of this 111-nucleotide long non-coding RNA. RefSeq lists it as uncharacterized. The record is from RefSeq and is a predicted model, not a curated record. NCBI's taxonomy places the organism in Eukaryota, Metazoa, Chordata, Actinopteri, Batrachoidiformes, Batrachoididae. The transcript has 3 exons.
UAGAGAUCCAAGAUGGACUCUACUGUAUUUUCAAUUAAGGACUCUGUUUUUGUUUCUCAUCUGUUUGAAAGCAAACUUUUGUACAAUGUGUAAAAACUUGAAACUGUUAGA